GUUUCUUUCAAAUGAGUGUGUCAUGUUGUGUCGCCCUAGCGCCAGUUUUAAAAUAUACAUUCAGUAUUUUGUGAAAAUUCUAAUGAGUUAAUAAAGAAAAAAACUUUUUGGUCAUUUUGUGUUUAAUAGACACAUUUUAUUUAUUUAUUUAUUUAUUUACAAUAGCCUGAUUAUUUGUCAGAAUUCCAUUAGAUUUCUAUUUAGUUUAUUUGAGAUUGUGUCCACUAACUAGAACCGUCUUUGAGAAAAUACGUUUUCCUUGUUUGUAACACUAUUAUAUCUGUAUCAGUCUUUUUCUGUUGGCAUAUUUGGAUUAGUUUAAGUUUGAAAGUUAUGUCUUAAUAUAAAUGUGAACAGUGAGAACUUCUCUUUCAAUUACAUUUCUCUAACCUGACUGAGCUAUUACAUCAGCUGUGUGCUUUGACGAAUAUUCACGUUUAUUAUCUAUAAAUCUUAGUUUAAAAAAAUAAAAAUAAUCUGACGUCAUCCUUAAACGCGUCCAUCUAGGAACCGUUACUAAUUACCCGGUACAUUUACAGGUUGACCCGCAAAAGCGAUUCAGUCAGUUUUGGUAUAUAUUACUUUAUUAAAGAUUAAGAAUGUGUUUUAACGGUACCAAUGUACAUAUGGACAAACUAGACCAAAUGCGCAAAAGACUCUGUUUAUUACAGUUUAUCCAGUUACUAUGAUUCAACUACGAAAAAGACGUCAGUCAGUCAAUUUAGUGACGAACCCUACAUCCAGCCAUGUGUCGUGUUUUUACCGUGAGCUGCCGAGCUCGUCUGCUGCCAGGCCACUGCCAGUAGUUUGACCAUCACAAAUUGGAUCAAAACCAGUGACUUUAAUUAACUGAAUGCCAAAAUGAGCUAUUUUUUCGAACUGGGAUACGGCCUAGGGUUGUUCAUUAUCAUUUUCAUCUGUGUGGGUAUCGUCGGUUGCUGUGUAGCUCUCUGCUGCUGCUGUUGCAAGAAAAGAAACCCGCAAAGGCACCAAAAUGUGACUACAGUAGUGUACACACAUCCGUCUUCUUCCCAAAUACCCGUUUCUGGGCCUCAGCCACAGUACCCAGCUUACCAGCCAGUACCUCAGCAAGCACACGGCGUACCUUACAUGACAGCACCUCCACCAUCAUACCAGGAAGCUACUGAUCCAGCUCUCUUGCCACACAACCCAGGGAUGAUGUUCCUCCACCCCAGUCAGCCUUCUGGGCACUCAGACGUGCACACACAGUUGCCCUACAAUCCUGCUUUUUACCCAAACACAGCCUCAUUUAACCAACCUGUCAAUAAGUACUGAGUACCACUAGAUGGCGCCACCGUGUUAUGCAUUCCAUUGCAUUCCGCCACCUUCUUAUGCAUUCCAAACAGUCACAAAAGGGUCAAACCUGCUGAUGGUGCUGUAGCUGUGAAGAAAAAUGCCCUCAUAAAUAAUGUUUUGUUUACGUAUUGCUUGCAAUCAAUCGAUAUAGGAUUGAUUUACACAAUUGUUGGUCAAUCCACACACAAAGCUUAAGAAAUGAAACUAUUGCCGUGGCCUUGAUUAUUGAUACUGUUAAACAUCACUAUUUAAGGUCAGUAAAGGUCAGGUCAGUAUAGAACAGCUUUUAUGCACUGUGUAAAAAAUAUUAUUGAUGUCUGUCUGCCUGUGCUAAAGUGAGUUAUGAUAUGGAGAUUUGUAGUUUGGUAUGAUUGUGUCAAUUAUGGCUAAAACAUGUACCGUAUUCUGUAUGUCUGCAGCAUGGGAGGUGGGGCUUGAUGGAAAUUCUCAUAUCAUGAAGGAUCAAAAGCCAAAUACUUUUCUACUGUUUUUUAAUAGGUUUGUAAAACACAAGCAUUAUGUCUUAAAUAGUUCCCAUAAUGCAAUAAAAAUGUUAUUCCCUGCAGUGGGAUGAAACUGCAGUGUUCUGUUCCCGUUCUUCCUUUGGGAUCAUGUGUGGUUGAAUAGCUUUAGUGGGUGUGCUUGCAUUUAAUCCCAUAAUGUCCAGGGCCACUCCCUCUUAUUGCAUCCCUCGCUGUCCAUUAAUCAAUACAGUAUUAGUGCUGACCACAGCAAUCUCAGUCACCAGAUUGGCUCUGGGCUGUGAUGGGAAAACGGCGUGUACAGUACUUCCACCUUAGUGUCUAAAAUAAGAAGCUUUCUCCUUGAAGUGUGGCUCAGACUGCUAAUGAGCAAGGAGGCCAGGCUCAUG
Long non-coding RNA from Takifugu rubripes (torafugu), 2188 nucleotides. The record is from Ensembl. Lineage: Eukaryota; Metazoa; Chordata; Actinopteri; Tetraodontiformes; Tetraodontidae.